AGCAAGGAGUUCCUGCAAAAUAAAUCGCACUUGCUAUCACGGGGAACGUGAACCGGCUUCUAAUACAGAAAAAGGCUCCAAUGGCAAGAAUUCAUUAAAUCACAAGAAACAUCGUUGCCAAAAAUAAACCAUAACUUCGAUCCUUUGUUUAUUAGCCGCUCUGUCGUCUACGUUCUAUGGCUGUAAGUCGACAACACAGAUCACUUGAAUCUACAAUUCUAUUUGCCAUUAUCGUCUGCUUUACUCUACAAGGCUACAUGGAGACUGGUAAGACUCAAAUAUGAAUCCAGAAUGAUAGACAAAAUCAAAUGACGUAAUUCGAAAGAUUCUUCCAAACCCAGCGCCGACAUACGCUGGCAGACAAAACGACGAAUUUGAAGAUAAAUACACACUGCAUCUCGCAAGGUCAAUGGAGGCAAUAUCAAAAGUAAUUUUUCAGGAACUUACUAUUUACAUAUGAAGGUGAAGACUUGAUGAUCUUUGCAAUAGAACUGCCAAGAACUGACUGGGCAUCAUUGAAUAUGAUUGAUAUACAGUAGGAGGUUGUUACACCAAAGGCUAAAGAGUAAGCCAAACGGUUCUCAUAGCCAUCCAGAAGAUUGAGUGGA
This is a long non-coding RNA of Rhopilema esculentum, 608 nucleotides long. RefSeq lists it as uncharacterized. The record is from RefSeq and is a predicted model, not a curated record. NCBI's taxonomy places the organism in Eukaryota, Metazoa, Cnidaria, Scyphozoa, Rhizostomeae, Rhizostomatidae.